RNAcentral lists this ribosomal RNA (253 nucleotides) under uncultured bacterium. RNAcentral describes it as "partial 16S ribosomal RNA". It matches the Rfam family "Bacterial small subunit ribosomal RNA", at positions 524 to 776 of the family's 1533-position model. The record is from RNAcentral.
UACGGAGGGUGCAAGCGUUAUCCGGAUUCACUGGGUUUAAAGGGUGCGUAGGUGGGCAGGAAAGUCAGUGGUGAAAUCUCCGGGCUUAACCCGGAAACUGCCGUUGAUACUAUUUGUCUUGAAUAUUGUGGAGGUAAGCGGAAUAUGUCAUGUAGCGGUGAAAUGCUUAGAUAUGACAUAGAACACCAAUUGCGAAGGCAGCUGGCUACACGAAUAUUGACACUGAGGCACGAAAGCGUGGGGAUCAAACAGG